This 92-nucleotide transfer RNA is filed under the name Felis catus (domestic cat). It matches the Rfam family "tRNA". Rfam says of the family: Transfer RNA (tRNA) molecules are approximately 80 nucleotides in length. Lineage: Eukaryota; Metazoa; Chordata; Mammalia; Carnivora; Felidae. The record is from Rfam by way of RNAcentral.
GCCUGGGUGGCUCAGCUGGUUGAGUGUCUGACUUAUGAUUUCAGCUCAGAUCAUGAUCUCACAGUUCAUGGGUUCGAGCCCCAUGUUGGGCU